UGGGGAAUAUUGGACAAUGGGCGAAAGCCUGAUCCAGCCAUGCCGCGUGUGUGAAGAAGGUCUUCGGAUUGUAAAGCACUUUAAGUUGGGAGGAAGGGUUGUAGAUUAAUACUCUGCAAUUUUGACGUUACCGACAGAAUAAGCACCGGCUAACUCUGUGCCAGCAGCCGCGGUAAUACAGAGGGUGCAAGAGUUAAUCGGAAUUACUGGGCGUAAAGCGCGCGUAGGUGGUUAGUUAAGUUGGAUGUGAAAUCCCCGGGCUCAACCUGGGAACUGCAUUCAAAACUGACUGACUAGAGUAUGGUAGAGGGUGGUGGAAUUUCCUGUGUAGCGGUGAAAUGCGUAGAUAUAGGAAGGAACACCAGUGGCGAAGGCGACCACCUGGACUGAUACUGACACUGAGGUGCGAAAGCGUGGGGAGCAAACA
Molecule: ribosomal RNA, 427 nt
Filed under: uncultured bacterium
Lineage: Bacteria
Description: partial 16S ribosomal RNA
Rfam family: Bacterial small subunit ribosomal RNA
Source: RNAcentral